GCGGCUCCAAGGUAGGGGAAGGUCUGGGUGUCCACCAGGCGGCCUCGCCAAGGAGGAACUUGGCACAAAUUCUCCAGCUCGCAGGGAGAGCGGGCAAAAGCCAGCAAGCCGGAGUACGAAGAGCGCCCCCGUGGGAGGCGGGAGCUGAGGCUGCCACCGAGCCACCCGCCUUUGCCCCCAAACCCAGGGCAGAGGGGCUGCGGGGACCGGUACGGCCCCCGAACCGAGCUGGAGCUGCCGGGAGGAAAGUCAGGUCCCCUCUGCGCUCCGGGUUCGCCCCCCGCCCCCCGCCCGCGGGGAAGAUGCCCCGGGCCCCGGCACGCAGCGGCGGGGGCUCCUCCCCGCGGGGAAGAUGCCCCGGGCCCGGGUCGCGGAAGGGCGGGCGUGGCCCAGGGAAUCCCGCGAAGCCGCCCCAGCGCCUGCCGGCGGGGCGCCCCGGGCUUUCCCCGCCGCCGGGUGCGCGGCGCCCGCCCGGCGCGGACCCUCCUGCCCCGCGGAGCGCGAGCCCCGGAGCCAAGCAGUCGCGCCGGUGGACAUGCCUGCCUCGGAGGGCCACCGCCGCGGCUGACCCUCCCGCAGCUCAUCCUUCGGAGGAUCGUGGCUCC
RNAcentral lists this long non-coding RNA (605 nucleotides) under Canis lupus familiaris (dog). Its description in RNAcentral is "lncRNA (ENSCAFG00040024186.1)". Lineage: Eukaryota; Metazoa; Chordata; Mammalia; Carnivora; Canidae. The record is from RNAcentral.